AGUCUCGUCGUCCAGCGGCCCAGGAUACUCCCUUGUCACGGGAGAGACGCGGAUUCAAAUUCCGUCGAGACUGCCA
This 76-nucleotide transfer RNA is filed under the name Candidatus Obscuribacterales bacterium. Its description in RNAcentral is "tRNA-Asp". It matches the Rfam family "tRNA". Rfam says of the family: Transfer RNA (tRNA) molecules are approximately 80 nucleotides in length. The record is from RNAcentral. Lineage: Bacteria; Bacillati; Candidatus Melainabacteria; Candidatus Obscuribacterales.